RNAcentral lists this unclassified non-coding RNA (253 nucleotides) under uncultured Halomonadaceae bacterium. RNAcentral's name for it is "contains 16S-23S intergenic spacer region". It matches the Rfam family "Bacterial small subunit ribosomal RNA", at positions 524 to 776 of the family's 1533-position model. Lineage: Bacteria; Pseudomonadati; Pseudomonadota; Gammaproteobacteria; Oceanospirillales; Halomonadaceae. The record is from RNAcentral.
UACGGAGGGUGCAAGCGUUAAUCGGAAUUACUGGGCGUAAAGCGCGCGUAGGUGGCUCGAUAAGCCGGUUGUGAAAGCCCCGGGCUCAACCUGGGAACGGCAUCCGGAACUGUCAAGCUAGAGUACCGGAGAGGAAGGUAGAAUUCCUGGUGUAGCGGUGAAAUGCGUAGAGAGCGGUAGGAAUACCAGUGGCGAAGGCUGCCUUCUGGACUGAUACUGCCACUGAGGUGGGAAAGCGUGGGUAGCAAACAGG